RNAcentral lists this ribosomal RNA (430 nucleotides) under uncultured bacterium. RNAcentral's name for it is "bacterial SSU rRNA". It matches the Rfam family "Bacterial small subunit ribosomal RNA", at positions 29 to 507 of the family's 1533-position model. The record is from RNAcentral.
AACGAACGCUGGCGGCAGGCCUAACACAUGCAAGUCGAGCGCCCCGCAAGGGGAGCGGCGGACGGGUGAGUAACGCGUGGGAACGUGCCCUCUUCUACGGAAUAGCCUCGGGAAACUGGGAGUAAUACCGUAUACGCCCUUAGGGGGAAAGAUUUAUCGGAGGAGGAUCGGCCCGCGUUGGAUUAGGUAGUUGGUGGGGUAAUGGCCUACCAAGCCGACGAUCCAUAGCUGGUUUGAGAGGAUGAUCAGCCACACUGGGACUGAGACACGGCCCAGACUCCUACGGGAGGCAGCAGUGGGGAAUCUUAGACAAUGGGCGCAAGCCUGAUCUAGCCAUGCCGCGUGAGCGAUGAAGGCCUUAGGGUUGUAAAGCUCUUUCAGGGGGAAGAUAAUGACUGUACCCCCAGAAGAAGCCCCGGCUAACUCCGUG